UGGGUGUCCAACACUUCUCCUCCCAGGAGUCCUGGGUUGACUGAGAAAGCUUCAGCACAAGGCAGGCGGCCUUGGGUUCCCAUACCUCUGAGUGAGUGUGUUGUGGGAGCCCCCGGAAGCCAUUUGGAAAGGAAGGUCUCCCCCUCCCCUUUCUUUUUCAGGCUCCCUCCCUAUUUGGGCCCAGCCUCUCUUCCCAUCUUCCUCUUUCUCCCUGGGUUUUGUCCCAUGGGGGGAGCUCAAGGGGAGGCUCUGCAGUCCCCUUCCCGUCCAGGACUUGUCCUCUCUGGGAAAGCCAGGGUGUGGUAGGGGAAGCCAACGGCCCCAAACCCGCUCCCACCUGUCCCAAGAGCACCCUCCUGGCUUCACCAGCCCCCCAGGGCUGUGUGCUCCAGGCGGCAGCAAGGACUUGCUGGGGUAUGUAACUGGCAGACCCCUGCUAUCCCGGGGCUUCCAGUUUAGAGGAGGACACAGGUACUCAACAAGCCUUCUGGUGGCCAGUGUCGUGUUUUUAGUUGAGCACAUGGCCCUUCCAGGUUAAGUGUGACCACGAGGCUAAUCUGUUCGAAGAGACGUGCACACAAGUGUUUUUGGGGGCUCUCCAUGCCCCACUGGAUGGUGAGAGACUUUGGAGCUCCAGUGCCCAGCGUGGCAGUGGACACCAGUGGAGCCUGGCCAGUACCCGGUCCGAAACCAAAGCACCCCCUCCCCCAUCACAAGAGUGUUGUCUGCUCGCACACAGUUCAGUUGAGUCUUUCCCUAGAAAGCACUUUGUCCAAAAUUAUGCCUCCUCCCUGGGGUACCCAAUGGAGGUCUUCAUCCAAUGGGGUGGGAUGACAAGCCCAGCUCCCGGCCUCCAUGGGGGCAACUUGGAAGGCCACCCUAGCUCCAAGUGCUCCUGCGAGACUGGCUGGCUCCUGUGCUGGGGCUGCAUCACCUUUGCCCAGUCUUGCUUCCGUCCUCCCUUCCAUGAGGGUUCAUCCCAAGAUCAUCCCUAAAACACCUGUCUGCAAAUGUCUGCCUCAGAGUCUGCUCCUGAGCAAUCCAACUCAGGGCGGAAGCUGUCUUAUGCUGUGAUGGGAGCAGCCUGGGGACUACAGUGACGUGAACAGUACAAGAAGCCUGAGUUCUCCAAAUCCACUAACGACUAUGUUAGCCCUGAAUCCUCAACUCCCACCGUACAGAAACAAACCUGCAGUGGAGUUUGAACUCUCUAUCGUCUAAACACGUUCUGACGGACGUAGAAUUCGUUAUCAAGACGUAGAAUGUUGACAUGGCAAAACUGUGAGCACGAGGCACUGGGCAGCUGGCCGAUACCCCAGGUGGCAAAGCUGAGGACCAUGUCAUGCAGAACAACUGGAAACACCAUCUCCCGUGGUAUUUGAGAAGACCAGUCACGUGUCUAUGGAGCCUCUCGUCCUAGAGCAAAGGGGUUGGAAAAGGUGCAAAGGCUGGUGGGGAGAGUCUUCCCCGCACAUUUAGCAAGGACUUUGUGAGACGUGGGCUCAGAAUAGAGACAGCCGUCUGCCAGCAGAGGGGAAAGGGGAUGGAGCUCUGUUCAUGGAGACCAGUCCUGCCUGUGGCCGGGCGUCUAAGUUGGUGAAGAAUCCAGUAUUGGAAGCUUCCACGUGCUGAGAAAGCCAACUACUCUUGUACCCCGAACUGAAGCGAUGACAUGAGGGGCCCCUCAAGAGGCGGCUUCCCCAGGAGAUAAGACCGCGGUCUGAGCCUUUCCCGAGCAGCUCAGUGAAGAACGCCCCUCCAGAUGAGAGUCAGUCCAGCGGUCCAGAUCCCAUGAAAGUCCUCAGGUGCAGAGAAUAUGAGAAUAAACAGCCUUCCUUGAGAGGGCUGCAGGGAGAUCGUGGCUCAAGACCAGAAGAGGAGGAAACAUUCCAAGAAGAGGUUGAAAGCAGGGGAGUGUGCUGAAUGGUGCAAGAGCUCCAGAGCACGCUGCUCAAGAGAAGAGGAGAGGGGAUGGCUGGCGAGGCCAGCAGGCGGGCCGGGGCUCUAGGGAGACAGGCAAGCUGUGAUGGGAAGGGAGACCCUCGCUCUCACGGAAAGUCAACCUUGGCUAUCCCUCCCAAGCUAGGAGCAGGGUCAUUGCUCAGCCUGAUGCCUCCCAUGCCACUGUGUCAUCAGUCUUGUUUGUCCCUCAAUCUU
Molecule: long non-coding RNA, 2157 nt
Organism: Lutra lutra (Eurasian river otter)
Lineage: Eukaryota; Metazoa; Chordata; Mammalia; Carnivora; Mustelidae
Exons: 3
Source: RefSeq, a predicted model, not a curated record